GGUUUGGGUGGCGGACGGGUGAGUAACGCGUAAAGAACUUGCCUCACAGUUAGGGACAACAUUUGGAAACGAAUGCUAAUACCUGAUAUUAUGAUUUUAGGGCAUCCUAAGAUUAUGAAAGCUAUAUGCGCUGUGAGAGAGCUUUGCGUCCCAUUAGCUAGUUGGAGAGGUAACGGCUCACCAAGGCGAUGAUGGGUAGCCGGCCUGAGAGGGUGAACGGCCACAAGGGGACUGAGACACGGCCCUUACUCCUACGGGAGGCAGCAGUGGGGAAUAUUGGACAAUGGACCAAAAGUCUGAUCCAGCAAUUCUGUGUGCACGAUGACGUUUUUCGGAAUGUAAAGUGCUUUCAGUUGGGAAGAAAAAAAAUGACGGUACCAACAGAAGAAGUGACGGCUAAAUACGUGCCAGCAGCCGCGGUAAUACGUAUGUCACAAGCGUUAUCCGGAUUUAUUGGGCGUAAAGCGCGUCUAGGUGGUUAUGUAAGUCUGAUGUGAAAAUGCAGGGCUCAACUCUGUAUUGCGUUGGAAACUGCAUGACUAGAGUACUGGAGAGGUAAGCGGAACUACAAGUGUAGAGGUGAAAUUCGUAGAUAUUUGUAGGAAUGCCGAUGGGGAAGCCAGCUUACUGGACAGAUACUGACGCUAAAGCGCGAAAGCGUGGGUAGCAAACAGGAUUAGAUACCCAGGUAGUCCACGCCGUAAACGAUGAUUACUAGGUGUUGGGGGUCGAACCUCAGCGCCC
RNAcentral lists this ribosomal RNA (744 nucleotides) under uncultured Fusobacterium sp. RNAcentral describes it as "bacterial SSU rRNA". It matches the Rfam family "Bacterial small subunit ribosomal RNA", at positions 88 to 848 of the family's 1533-position model. The record is from RNAcentral. Lineage: Bacteria; Fusobacteriati; Fusobacteriota; Fusobacteriia; Fusobacteriales; Fusobacteriaceae.